This is an RNA transcript of Coffea arabica (coffee), 1594 nucleotides long. It is a transcript of the gene named transcription factor BIM2, with no coding region annotated. Lineage: Eukaryota; Viridiplantae; Streptophyta; Magnoliopsida; Gentianales; Rubiaceae. The record is from RefSeq and is a predicted model, not a curated record.
UGCUACUUUCUUUGUUCUUAGUUUUUUCUGAAAGCGUUUUCGCUUGUUCUCACCCAUCUAGGGCUUUUCCAAUUAGCAGUGCAUAAAUUGAGAGAGAGAGAGAAAUUGAGAGAGACAGAGAGAGAGACUGUGUGUGUGUUAUCAUUAUUAUCGUUGUUAUUAUCUUUUUUAGGGCUGGAGGAUUGUAAUUGUAACCGGUAAAUGGUGAGAACCUCGAAGAGCCGGCAGGAAGACGACGAUUUUGACGAUGAAGAAUUCGCUUCCUCUACUCCUGAAAAUUCCUCUCAAAAAGUGAAAGUGGAGGGAAAGGGUAAUGAUCAGAAGGUCAAUGCUCUGCGGUCGAAGCAUUCCGAGACAGAACAGCGGCGGAGAAGCAAAAUUAACGAGAGAUUCCAAAUUUUAAGAGAUAUCAUCCCUGAAAAUGAUCAGAAGCGAGAUAAAGCUUCAUUCUUGCUGGAGGUUAUACAGUAUAUCCAGUUCUUACAGGAGAGGAUACAGAUGUACGAGGAAACAUACCAAGGUUGGAAUCAGGAGCCAUCAAAGUUGAUACCUUGGAGAAGCAAUUCUGGGCUAAUUGAGAAUUUUGUUGAUCAACCACUGCUCAUGAGGAAUGGUUCUGGUCACGAAGACAACAUCAUUGUCUCUCCAACUUUGCUUUCUAAUGCCCAGACGGCAAUGGAUUCUGAGUUGAAUGGUGCUCCUCUAUGCACUCCUACAGAUCAUCCCCAACAGUCAGGAAAUGAAGAAAAUUCUUCAAAUUUGCUAGUGCAGCCAAAUUUGUUUCAUGUUGUGUCUACCCAACCUCCUCAGGGAUCUUUUCCUGACCCUGAACAUUUGGCUACUCACUCCCCUUCCGAAUACUGGCAAGGCAAAUUGACUGCAUCCGAAUGCGCUGUUCCAAGCUACAAAACUAGCCAGCGAGAACAGCUGCACCCGGAUAGUGGAGAAGCUAGUAUCUCAAAUGUUUACUCUCAAGGGUUGUUGAAUACCCUUAAGCAUGCACUCCAAUCCUCUGGGGUGGAUUUGUCCCAGGUCAACAUCUCAGUGCAACUUGACGUGGGUAAAAGAACCAAUGAAGGAACUGCUAGUACAGUCAUUAGAGAGGUUUCUUCUGCUUUCUUCACUCCUUUGUCCAUUUCUUUAAAAAUGUGAAAAGAAGGCUAGAAGCUAAAACUGAUCUCUCUAAUUCUUUUGCUCCGAUGAAGAAUGAGAUUUUUAGGUACAACUUCUUUGCGUCUUAGCAAAAAUCAGAAUGUAUUGGUGGUUGUACUAGCUGCAGAGGUAGCGUUGACAGUUAAGAUUGUGCUAAUAAAUAGCUGAAAGUGGAUCAAGGUUAGAGUGUCGCCAUCACUAUUCAUUUUUUAUUAUCUCUGAGAAUAUGGAAAUUUGCCUUGAUUUCCAGCAUUCGCUCGUCUUCUGAUGGGAUGGUGAUCAAGAGUUUCCUCCGUAUGGGGACUUGUAAAUUUUUUUUGGUCUUUGAUUUUGGAUAGAGGCUUCCAUUUAAGUAUGAGAAGCUGCCUUAUUUUACAGGAAGUUAUUGGAUCAAACCUCUUGCUCCCGAAGCUUAUUAUCUCUCUCUCUCUUGUUAUUUGGG